This 335-nucleotide long non-coding RNA is filed under the name Setaria viridis. RNAcentral's name for it is "long non-coding RNA (SVIR_LNC003945)". The record is from RNAcentral. Lineage: Eukaryota; Viridiplantae; Streptophyta; Magnoliopsida; Poales; Poaceae.
GAGAAACCAUUUCUUAGAGAGGAAACCAAGUCCUCACGCGCACCGAUGGACUAAGAAACUAGCGAAUCUGCAUUGGGGAGAUCCAAGUAGUUUCUUCUUAUUUACUGUCGGAUCCUUUGCGUUUGCACUGCUGCUACCCAUCACUCGAUCUCCUUUACAUGAUGCACACAGGAUCCGGUACUAGAAGGGAGAAUGAUUGGUUGGAUUUUUAUUUAGAUUCUAGAUAAAAAAGUUGCAUUGUGAAGGAUAAUUGCUUGAUACAAUAUCCUAAACUAUGGAAACUAAAUUGGUUUCUCCCAUUGGGAGUGCCCUCGCUCUCAGCCGCGCCUCACGUC